UUGACCUCGGAUCAGGUAUCAGGUAGGGAUACCCGCUGAACUUAAGCAUAUCAAU
RNAcentral lists this ribosomal RNA (55 nucleotides) under Didymella pinodes (pea foot rot fungus). RNAcentral describes it as "partial 28S ribosomal RNA". Lineage: Eukaryota; Fungi; Ascomycota; Dothideomycetes; Pleosporales; Didymellaceae. The record is from RNAcentral.